Molecule: unclassified non-coding RNA, 205 nt
Filed under: Hevea brasiliensis (rubber tree)
Lineage: Eukaryota; Viridiplantae; Streptophyta; Magnoliopsida; Malpighiales; Euphorbiaceae
Source: RNAcentral
AUGAAGUGGAUGACUAGAAAUCUGGGUGUAACUUUCUAGAGCCUCAACAGGAACCAACGUAGGAGGUAUCUGCCGCCUCUUCCUUUGUUGUGAUAGAGCAGCAUUACAAUCUGUGAGCUCAGAGAUAACAGUGGCUGAUAUUCCUGGACGUAUUUUCUUCCCAUCAGGACCCAAUUCCUCAUCCUCAUUAACUCUUUUCCCAUUA